UCCUGGUGGCUCAGAUGAUAAAGAAUCUGCCUGAAAUGCAGGAUACCCAGGUUUGAUCCCUGGGUCAGGAA
RNAcentral lists this transfer RNA (71 nucleotides) under Bos taurus (domestic cattle). It matches the Rfam family "tRNA". Rfam says of the family: Transfer RNA (tRNA) molecules are approximately 80 nucleotides in length. Their secondary structure includes four short double-helical elements and three loops (D, anti-codon, and T loops). Further hydrogen bonds mediate the characteristic L-shaped molecular structure. tRNAs have two regions of fundamental functional importance: the anti-codon, which is responsible for specific mRNA codon recognition, and the 3' end, to which the tRNAs corresponding amino acid is attached (by aminoacyl-tRNA synthetases). tRNAs cope with the degeneracy of the genetic code in two manners: having more than one tRNA (with a specific anti-codon) for a particular amino acid; and 'wobble' base-pairing, i.e. permitting non-standard base-pairing at the 3rd anti-codon position. The record is from Rfam by way of RNAcentral. RNAcentral also lists the same sequence under 5 other names. Lineage: Eukaryota; Metazoa; Chordata; Mammalia; Artiodactyla; Bovidae.